This 660-nucleotide ribosomal RNA is filed under the name uncultured marine bacterium. RNAcentral's name for it is "bacterial SSU rRNA". It matches the Rfam family "Bacterial small subunit ribosomal RNA", at positions 56 to 719 of the family's 1533-position model. The record is from RNAcentral.
UGCAGUCGCGCGAGAAGUCGGCUUCGGCUGGCGAGUAAAGCGGCGGACGGGUGCGUAACACGUGGGUAACCUGCCUGGGUGCGGGGGACAACUUGGGGAAACUCGAGCUAAUACCGCAUAAGCUCCGAGGACUGCGGUCCGAGGAGGAAAGCUGGCCUCUUCUUGAAAGCUAGCGCUCCCAGAGGGACCCGCGCUCGAUUAGCUAGUUGGUGGGGUAAUGGCUCACCAAGGCAGCGAUCGAUAGCCGGCCUGAGAGGGUGAUCGGCCACACUGGGACUGAGACACGGCCCAGACUCCUACGGGAGGCAGCAGUGGGGAAUAUUGCGCAAUGGGCGAAAGCCUGACGCAGCAACGCCGUGUGAGCGAUGAAGGCCUUUGGGUCGUAAAGCUCUGUCAAAUGGGAAGAAUUUUGACGGUACCAUUAGAGGAAGCCCCGGCUAACUCCGUGCCAGCAGCCGCGGUAAUACGGAGGGGGCAAGCGUUGUUCGGAAUUAUUGGGCGUAAAGAGUAUGUAGGCGGCUAAAUAAGUCAGACGUGCAAGCCCGUGGCUCAACCACGGAAUUGCGUUUGAAACUGUAUAGCUUGAGUACAGAAGAGGAAAGCGGAAUUCCCAGUGUAGCGGUGAAAUGCAUUGAUAUUGGGAAGAACAUCUGUGGCGAA